Molecule: ribosomal RNA, 380 nt
Filed under: uncultured eukaryote
Lineage: Eukaryota
Description: partial 18S ribosomal RNA
Rfam family: Eukaryotic small subunit ribosomal RNA
Source: RNAcentral
CAAUAGCGUAUAUUAAAGUUGUUGCAGUUAAAAAGCUCGUAGUUGGAUUUGUGGUGUACUUCGGCGGCCCGUCACUAUGUGAUGGAGCUUGCUGAAGUCGCCAUCCUUGGGUGGAUCCUGUGUGGCAUUAAGUUGUCGUGCAGGGGAUGCCCAUCGUUUACUGUGAAAAAAUUAGAGUGUUCAAAGCAGGCUUAUGCCGUUGAAUAUAUUAGCAUGGAAUAAUAAGAUAGGACCUUGGUACUAUUUUGUUGGUUUGCGCACCAAGGUAAUGAUUAAUAGGGACAGUUGGGGGUAUUCGUAUUUCAUUGUCAGAGGCGAAAUUCUUGGAUUUUUGAAAGACGAACUACUGCGAAAGCAUUUACCAAGGAUGUUUUCAUUAA